UCAAUGUAAUAAUGUGUAAUUUCAUUCCUUUGUAGGACCGCAUCUAAACAUGUAAACAAGGACCUUGGUAAUCUGGAGGAAAAUAAAAAGUUAGAAGAAAACAAUCACAAAACAGAAGCCUAAGAGACAAGCUGUUUUCAUUGUUGUCCAGAGAAAAAACUAUAUAGGCCAAAUGAAGCAUGAACGUGGAUUGUAUUUAAGACAUAUACAAAGACAUUGACAGCAAUUCAUGGUUCAAAUAUUAAGCAGUUCAUUCUACCAAGCUGUCACAGGAUUUCAGAGAAUUAUCUCAAGUCAAACAAUGAAAUGAAAUUGCAAACAAUAACAAGUUUUGGCAGCCAUGAUGAUAGGUCCAUGUUGUAUUUGGUUUGAUUUUUUUUUUCUGUAAAUGUCUGCACUGAGGAUUUUCUUUGGGUUUGCCUUUUCUGUAAAUUUUUUACGUAGCUAUUUUUAUACACUGUAAGCUUUGUUCUGGGAGUUGCUGUUAAUCUGAUAUAUAAUGUAAUGUUUUUAUUUCACUUGUUUAUAUGGAUAAUCUGAGCAGGUACAUUUCUGAUUCUGAUUGCUAUCAGUAAUGCCCCCAAACUUUUUCACAAGCACCUAAAUCCCAAAGGUGGCAGCUUGUGAAGACUGGGGACACAAACAUUGCCCUAUUCCAAAACCGUGAUUGUUAUCACAAAAGGGGGAGGCAGAGAGUCGGAUUGAUAAAUGCCAGAUGAGCUGAUUCUGUGAAUGCACCACCCGCUGCCUCUCAGAAGCAAAUCACACAUGCGAAUAGACAUAUAUACAUAAUGACAGUACUCCCAAACUACAUGUUUGCCUAUACUGAAAACAAUGUAACAGAAUUUGGGUAACACUUACCUUUAGAUACUCCUGCUAGUAAAUUAUUUUCUGUCAAAAAAAAAAAAAAACCCUAUGUGUGAGAGACAGUACAGUUUGGAAAAAAUCAUGGAUUACAUUUCCAUUUUCAUAGAUCACAAUGUAAAUCACUGUAUUUAAAAAUUAUUGUUAAAUCCUUUGGGUUAUCCACUGCCUUAAAAUUAUACCUAUUUCCUUUUUAAAAAGAUAUCAGUCAGAAUUGGAGAUUUUUAACAGUGGUCAUUAUCAAAGCUGUGUUAUUUUCCACAGAAUAUAGAAUAUAUAUAUUUUUUCGUGUGUGUUUUUGUUAACUACGCUACAGAUAUUGAAUGCACUUGAGAUAAUUUAGUGUUUUUAACUGAUACAUAAUUUAUCAAGCAGUACAUAAAAGUGUAAUAAUAAAAUGUCUAUGUAUCUUUAGUUACAUUCAAAUUUGUAACUUUAUAAACGUGUUUUAUGCUUGAGGAACUUUUUAGAGUGGUAGUAUAAAUGGCAACUUUUUGAAGUAGACUGGAUAUGGGCCAAUAGCUACUUGUGAAUAGACUUUUAAACUUUGUUCUUUCAAGCAGAAGCCUGGAUUCUGGGAGAAUACUGCACAGCCAUUUUUGUCCCAGGAUUUACAUAACUUUAUAGAAAAAGAAAAUGAACAUCAGAUUUCCAGGUAUAAAACUGUGUUCUUUGGGAGGAAGAGGAAAACUGGUAUUUGUUUUUUAGACUGUUGAAGUAAAAAUUAUGAAGGUGAUGAAAAAUAAAUUGAAGAUUAAAGUGAGAGGGAGAUUAGGGAGAAUAUUUUGCCACUUCUGCAUUAUUUAGAAACACAUGUUAUUGUACAUUUGUAAACCAUUCACUGCCUGGGCCGUAGUGACUCAGUUUAAUGAAAGCUUCCUGUAGUGGAUUGGUAGGGAUUAAAUACACGUAAUAUCCUAUUAGACUCGAAGCUGUGUAAAAUACUAUGGGAAAAAAGAAAAUAUGUUAUUUUGCCUCUAAACUUUGAUUUACUGAAGUUUUAUUUGGUAGGGAGAAAAUUGAAUUUUGGUCUAUAUUUAAACCAAAGUGAAAGGGGAAAAACCAAAGUUAUUUGUUUUGCAUGGCCAAGCCAUCCUGUUAUCUCUGUAAAUACUGUGAUUUCUCUUUUUCCUUUUCUUUUUUAGAAUUUUGUUAAAGAAAUUCUAAAAAUUUUAAACACCUGCUUCCAUAAUAAACCAUGAACACUAAAAUGAUAUCACUUCCAUAUAAAUACUUUUCUUUUGGUGUGAGAGAUCAAGGGUCAGUCUAUCUCCUAAGCUGUGAUUGCAGGAGGGAGCAGUGCGACAGUGGAAAGAGGGGGUAUACUGUGAUUAUUUAUUGGCUUUCACUUGCUGUGGUAAAGUAAGUCCAAAAGCAGCUGUCGUAACCUAGAGAGCAGAACAUUCACAACGCAGAGCAUGGACAGAAAGCAGAAAGUUGGCCGGGCAAGGCUGGACAGUGUGAGGACAACCGAAUCAGGGCCUGGAUGAAAGGGAAAGCUUCUUUGUGUGACAGCAGUGGCGGAGCGUACACAGCGAGGCCAGGGAGGAAGGUCGUGCACUGUCCUCGACUUCCAAGGCGGCUUCUCUUCAAUUUAAUCCUUUGGCCACAAGAGGCAGGUUUCGCCAGUUCAAGUUUCACUUCCAAUCUUUGAUUACAGGAAUUGUAUGUGGAAAUGGAUUAACAUACCCAUCUAUGCCUAAAAGAUAAUAAAACUGAAAUAUGUCUUCACAUA
Molecule: long non-coding RNA, 2599 nt
Organism: Phyllostomus discolor (pale spear-nosed bat)
Lineage: Eukaryota; Metazoa; Chordata; Mammalia; Chiroptera; Phyllostomidae
Exons: 2
Source: RefSeq, a predicted model, not a curated record